This is a non-coding RNA of Schistosoma curassoni, 45 nucleotides long. The record is from Rfam. Lineage: Eukaryota; Metazoa; Platyhelminthes; Trematoda; Strigeidida; Schistosomatidae.
AUCCAGCUGAUGAGUCCCAAACAGGAUGAAACGUGCGGCCUAGAU